Molecule: non-coding RNA, 128 nt
Organism: Knufia fluminis
Lineage: Eukaryota; Fungi; Ascomycota; Eurotiomycetes; Chaetothyriales; Trichomeriaceae
Source: the annotation of a GenBank genome assembly
GCCCUCAUAGCGUAGUGGGAGAGCGUGAGCCUGUUACUUCGGCCAACAAAGGAGAUGGGUUGUAAUCCUUUGUUGUGUUCAGAAAACAGAAAAGCUUGAGGUCGUCUGUUCGAUCCAGACUGGGGGCG